Ictalurus furcatus (blue catfish) is the source of this 4339-nucleotide long non-coding RNA. RefSeq lists it as uncharacterized. The record is from RefSeq and is a predicted model, not a curated record. The transcript has 3 exons. Lineage: Eukaryota; Metazoa; Chordata; Actinopteri; Siluriformes; Ictaluridae.
GCGUCUCCGUUUUUUUCCCCGUGCCGGCGUGUUCGCGUCCCUGUUUUUCUCUGUGCCACCAUGUUCGUGGCUCCGUUUUUUUCUCUGUGCCGCCGUGUUCGCGUCUCUGUUUUUUUCUCCGUGCCGCCACGUUCGCGUUUUUUUCUCUGUGCCUCCGUGUUCAUCUCUGUAUUUCUCUGUGCCACCGUGUUCGCGUCUCCGUUUUUUUCUCUGUGCCGCCGUGUUUCUGUUUCUCUGUGCCGCGGUGUUCGCGUCUCUCUUUUUCUCCGUGCCGUCGUCUUCGCGUCUCUGUUUUUCUCUGUGCUGCUGUGUUCGCAUCUGUUCGCAUCUCAUCCCAUCGGUUUGUAUCUAAUUUCCCUUUUGUUUAUGUAAGUAGUUUUUCAUUAACAGUUUUCCUGUGUGCACUUUUUCUCUGUGCUAAAAUUCCCUGUGCUGUGUCCAUCUCUCUUUAUUUCUAUGCACAGCUUCACUUAUUUGUGUUUUGAUCUCUGUGCUGUUUCUAUUUUUCGGUGCUUUUUUCCCCCUUGCCCCAGCCCCCCCAAGCACUAUUAGUGUCUCUGUGCUAUAAUAUUUGUCUAUAGUUUUUCUGUGUUGCUCCUGUCUUAAAUUUUUCCCCGUGUUGUUACUGUGACUGUGUUUUUAUUUCCUGUGGUGUUAAUUUUCUGUGAUUUCUAUCUCUGUGCUGCUUUAUAGGUCUAGUGUUUUUUUUGUUGCGCCCCCCCCCUCCCCCCUCCACAUUCUGGGUGUGUAUACCUUUUCUCUGUGCUGUUUCUGUCUCUCUUUUCCCUGUGUUCUUUUUUUAAUGCACAUUUUGUUCCCUUUCACUCUCGUGUCUCUCUUCUCUGUACUGCGGUGUUUAUUUUUCUCCGUGCAUGGUUUUCACACGUGGACCAUCUGUCGUUCUCUGUGUCAGUUGUGUAUCUUUUUGUUUUUGUUUCUCUCUCUGCUUCUUUUCUCUGGGCUGUCGGUGGCCCUGAUGUUUCUGUGUCUCUAGUUUUCUUUCUGUAUUAUUUCUGUUUCUAUUGUUUUCUUUUUAUAUAUAUAUAUAUAUAUAUAUAUAUAUAUAUAUAUAUAUAUAUAUAUAUCUCUAGGGUGUAUAUUUCUGGUGUGUGUCCCUAGUUUUUCUCUGUGCUGUAUAUCUUGCUUUUUGCUCUGUGUCGUUUUUGUCUCUGGUGUUUAUUUAAUUUUAUUUUAUUUAAUGUGCUAUUUGGUCUUUAUUUUCCUCUCAGGCCGUUCCUCUUGUGUUGCUUUCCAGUGUUUCUUUCUCUCCGUUGUGUGCGCUUCUAGAGACUCUCUGUGUUGGUUGUACAUCUUUAGUUGUGUUUUUUUCUUCUUCUCUGCUCUGUUAUAGCUCGCAUGUGUGUCUUUAAUGUUUCUUCACACCUCUGCGUCCGUUCCAGAUAUUCUCUGUGCUGGUUGAGUGUUUUGUUUGUGCAGAAGAUCUCUGUAUCUUUUUCUGUGAGCUUUCUUGUCGCAUUCUCUGUCACGUCUCGCUGCAUAAAGUCUGUGUGUGUGUGUGUGUGUGUUUAUUUAUUUAUUUUCUUCUCACUGUUACGUUUGGGUCUCUGUGUUCUUGCCUGUGUUUCUGUAUCGUAUCACUGCGUCACGUUUGUGUUUCGGCUGCCGUUGCUGAACUCGCAGCUCUGCGUAGAGAACGAAAGAUCGCCUGUCACGGGAAACAUCUGUAUUUUCCUCUGCUUUCUAACAGCAUCGUUGUUUAGUUUUUUUUGUUUUGUUGUUUUCUCUGUGCUGUCUCUCUCUCUCACUCUCUCUCUCACACACACACACACACACACACGGCAAGAGUGGAGUCAACAGCUGUCAGUGGGUGCAUUAGUGUGGUUAGAAGGGAUGUCUGAGAGGGCAUAUUUCCUCACACACGCGUGUGUGUGUGUGUGUGUGUGUGUGUGUGUGUGUAUGCCAAGGGCACAAACAAGUGAACAAAAUCCCCUGUGUCACAGCGUGACUGUUCCGCAUUAGCACUGCUAGAGAGGCGAGGAGUAUUGUGUGUGUGUGUGUGUGUGUGUGUGUGCGUGUUGCUUAAUUUAGCACAUGACCGGCUACUCAAGCGCUGUUUAGUGACAUUCAUCCUCAGUGCCAGAAGAGCGGGAGACGGGGGAGGGUGGGGGAGACGAGGCAACAUCGGAAGGCGGAGCUUUCGCAGGACGCGUUGUUUGCGUUGGGAGACGAGCGACAGGAAGUGAACCACAGUUCCCAUUUCCUGUGCGCUGAAUGGAAUAUGAGCUCAGGAUAUUAUAUGUUGAUGAAUCGUUUUAGAACAGCAGCAGCGACAGUAGCGCAGGCUUGUACUAACGUGCUUGAGGACCUGGUACAGCUGUUUUCUGUUCCGUUACGGAACGUUCUUUGCGUAAGGAGUCUCCAGUGUCAGAGGCGAAGCCUAAAAUAAGAUGCUGAGGAUCCAGGACGUUCUUGAACGGGUGGAAUAUCGCGAGCACAAUGUACUUCAGUGUUUCAAACUUUAUACGGUGGUGAUGAUGAAGAUGAGCCAUAAAUGAAUAAUAAUAAUAAUAAUAAUAAUAAUAAUAAUAAUAAUAAUAAUUUUCUUGUGUACAAAAAUGAAAAGAGUUGAAAUGAAUGAAUGUUAUUAGAGUUAUUCAAAUUAUUUAUCUACAGCAAUACAUAUGGGAAUUACAUCGUAUGUGUGUGUGUGUGUGUGUGUGUGUGUGUGUGAGAGAGAGAGAGAGAGAGUGAAGGUGAAGACCUGGUUAUUCGAGUGUUAAGGUUCCACACCUCUGGUCUGCUGGAGAAACAUGAAACUGCCUCCCAUAUGAUUUCAUUGGAAUUGCACUUACGACCUCUGUGCACUAGGGGGCGGUGCACUUAUAAAUCAUAAACCUGGAAUCCGUCAACAAACUUUUAGAAGAACAAUGGACAAGGAACUGCGCUACCACGAUGGAGGAGGGGAAGGACAGAGUGCUAGGGAAGCGCAGCAGAGAGAAAUGAGGCUGAGAAGACGCCGAACUGAGAGAGAGGGAAGGAAGGAAAUUGGUGGGCGGAGGAGUGUGUGUGUGUGUGUGUGUGUGUGUCAGACGCUCUCAGCAGGCCAGUUUACUGCUGUUCACCUGCAGGCAGAGAGAGGAAGAUCCCCCCCCUCCCAACCCACCCCCACCCCCACCCCCAAGAGCCUCAACUCAACACCACCACGUUUCCUGCCAGUGGGUGUGUGAAAAACACACACAAAUAUCCUUGCUAGUCUUCCUCAGUCACUCGGCGCACUCAGCUUUUAAAGCUCCCUCAGUGAGACGCGCUGCAAAAAUAAACAACAAUAAUAAUAAAAAGAAGUGCGAUUGUUCUAUUUUUAUUUCUCCUUCUUUUUUUUUCUUUUCCUUUUUCUUUUUUUUUUUUUUUUUUGACUCUAAACUCUUAUCGUACGGAACGCCUCGUCUCUUAAUGACAUAAUGACAGAGUAAUUACGCAAAUGAUCAGCGCUCACUCGCUCGUCGUACAUCACGAGCGUGUGGUUCAGACACACACACACGCACACACACACACACACACACACACACACACGUGGUCGCUAUGAAGUCGAGUCAAGGAAAUAUGUUGCUUUAUGAGUCGAUUUGGAUUAAAUUAGCACGUCGUUGUCGUUUUCUUCGCUAGCUGUAGCUAGCCAUUUCACUUAACGGAGGUAUCGUGCUCACGUUUACGCCGUAAGCUAGCUGUGGCGUUUUUAAUCAGUCGCGGUGGUUUUGUCGUAGCGAUUUUGCUAACUAGCCAGGAAUUUUCGAACGAAUGGAGAAACGGUAGAAAACGCCGCCACGGGUUACAAGCUUUUGAUAGUAAGAAUUGCAGCGUGUCUUGUAAUCGAGGCCGUUGACGGCUAGCUGUAACUAGCACGAUUAGAACUAGACGCGCUAACUGUCGCUGAUAACUUCUUUUUUUUUUUCCUCUAAAAGAUCUCAAAUCUGUUCGAAGAUCGUGAGUUUCCUUCAGUUUUACGGAGUAAAGUUUGUCGAGUGUGGUGUUCGUUUUCAUUCUGCUAACGAAGAGAAAGUCAGACUCGUUACUUGUGUGUGUGUGUGUGUGUGUGUGUGUGUGUGUGUGAGAGAUUAAACAUUUAUGAGGAAAUCAAGGCAUCGAGAAAAGUCCUCCUAACCUCAUCUUUAGUAAUUGCCGUUUUGCCCUUCCCCCAAAUCAUUCAUCUCUUUUUUUCCCCUAUAAUUGGAUCCACAUUGAAACAUUUGCAUGUUAAUGUCGUCUUCCGUCAUCGCGAUUCUCACCAUCCAUCACUUCACAUUAACGCAGUUUACCCGUCCAUCAGUGCGCCAUUACACACCGCUGCAUCCUGGGAGAACCUGGACCGGGUCUAUAUGAAGUG